AAAAACCCAAUUGAUAAAACCGAAUUGAAAACCCAAAUCCAAUUUUACGACCCGAAAUAAAAACCCACUUAAAAAUCCCCAAAUUGAAUAUCAUAAGAAUCCUACUUUCGAUUUUUUCUCUUGAGUCUCAUCUUUUUUUUUUUUUUUGUAAACCAACUUUAAUAUUAAAAUGACUCAUCUCCAUUUCUAGAGGAGAUGAACCAAGACAAAUUCUUGGGUGGAGAUACAUAAUGAAGGGAAAGCAAAAUGAAAUUUAGACCGAAGCUCACAAGUAUCCGCUAAGACAUCUUUGAACUCGUCUGCGAGGCCACCGACACUGUGAAGAAUCCUGAGAUCUUGACAAUUCGAAAAACAAGCCCGCCUUGAAACACCCAAA
RNAcentral lists this long non-coding RNA (376 nucleotides) under Capsella rubella. RNAcentral's name for it is "long non-coding RNA (CRUB_LNC001649)". Lineage: Eukaryota; Viridiplantae; Streptophyta; Magnoliopsida; Brassicales; Brassicaceae. The record is from RNAcentral.